Molecule: ribosomal RNA, 497 nt
Filed under: uncultured bacterium
Lineage: Bacteria
Description: partial 16S ribosomal RNA
Rfam family: Bacterial small subunit ribosomal RNA
Source: RNAcentral
GAUGAACGCUGGCGGCGUGCCUAAUACAUGCAAGUCGAGCGAACAGACGAGGAGCUUGCUCCUCUGACGUUAGCGGCGGACGGGUGAGUAACACGUGGAUAACCUACCUAUAAGACUGGGAUAACUUCGGGAAACCGGAGCUAAUACCGGAUAAUAUAUUGAACCGCAUGGUUCAAUAGUGAAAGACGGUUUUGCUUUCACUUAUAGAUGGAUCCGCCCCGCAUUAGCUAGUUGGUAAGGUAACGGCUUACCAAGGCAACGAUGCGUAGCCGACCUGAGAGGGUGAUCGGCCACACUGGAACUGAGACACGGUCCAGACUCCUACGGGAGGCAGCAGUAGGGAAUCUUCCGCAAUGGGCGAAAGCCUGACGGAGCAACGCCGCGUGAGUGAUGAAGGUCUUCGGAUCGUAAAACUCUGUUAUUAGGGAAGAACAAAUGUGUAAGUAACUAUGCACGUCUUGACGGUACCUAAUCAGAAAGCCACGGCUAACUACGUG